GCAAGUUUAGCUUGGUUCUUUAUUUUUGGAUGCUCUCAUUUUAAAUAAGUUAUGGAUUAAUUUAAUUCUACAAAUAAGGUACAUAUCUAGACUGUAAAUUAUUUAUGUAGUUCAUGUUAUAAACAUAUGAUUAUAUGGUUGAGUAGUGAAACAAAUAUGGUGGAGAUCCUAGGGUUAUACAAAUGCCAAUUGUAUAAGUAGUACUAAGGAUAAUAAGUCAACUGAGUGUCCACUUUAAGUGGAGGUUUUAUUUCUUGGGCAUCAAAGAAACAAA
This 274-nucleotide unclassified non-coding RNA is filed under the name Hevea brasiliensis (rubber tree). The record is from RNAcentral. Lineage: Eukaryota; Viridiplantae; Streptophyta; Magnoliopsida; Malpighiales; Euphorbiaceae.